UGCGACGUCACACUGCCGAGAAAAGCUUCUAGCCAGAGACGGUGCACCCGUACCGCAAACCGACACAGGUAGUCGAGGAGAGUAUCCUCAGGUGAGCGAGAGAACUCUCGUUAAGGAACUCGGCAAAAUGGCCCCGUAACUUCGGGAGAAGGGGCGCUGGUCGCAAGAUCAGCCGCAGUGAAAAGGCCCAAGCAACUGUUUAUCAAAAACACAGGCAUCUGCAAAAUCGUAAGAUGAAGUAUAGGUGCUGACACCUGCCCGGUGCUGGAAGGUUAAGAGGAGAGCUUAGCGCAAGCGAAGGUUUGAAUUGAAGCCCCAGUAAACGGCGGCCGUAACUAUAACGGUCCUAAGGUAGCGAAAUUCCUUGUCGGGUAAGUUCCGACCUGCACGAAAGGUGUAA
RNAcentral lists this ribosomal RNA (400 nucleotides) under Lactobacillus delbrueckii subsp. bulgaricus. RNAcentral's name for it is "partial 23S ribosomal RNA". It matches the Rfam family "Bacterial large subunit ribosomal RNA", at positions 1593 to 2004 of the family's 2925-position model. The record is from RNAcentral. Lineage: Bacteria; Bacillati; Bacillota; Bacilli; Lactobacillales; Lactobacillaceae.